UGGGGAAUUUUGGACAGUGGGCGCAAGCCUGAUCCAGCAAUGCCGCGUGCAGGAUGAAGGCCUUCGGGUUGUAAACUGCUUUCGUACGGAACGAAACGGCUCCUUUUAAUACAAGGGGCUAAUGACGGUACCGUAAGAAUAAGCACCGGCUAACUACGUGCCAGCAGCCGCGGUAAUACGUAGGGUGCGAGCGUUAAUCGGAAUUACUGGGCGUAAAGCGUGCGUAGGCGGUACAGUCAGUCAGAUGUGAAAUCCCUGGGCUUAACCUAGGAACUGCAUUUGAUACUGCUGAACUAGAGUAUGGUAGAGGGAGGUGGAAUUCCGGGUGUAGCGGUGAAAUGCGUAGAUAUGCGGAGGAACACCGAUGGCGAAGGCAAUCCCCUGGACCUGUACUGACGCUCAUGCACGAAAGCGUGGGGAGCAAACAGG
RNAcentral lists this ribosomal RNA (429 nucleotides) under uncultured bacterium. RNAcentral's name for it is "bacterial SSU rRNA". It matches the Rfam family "Bacterial small subunit ribosomal RNA", at positions 355 to 776 of the family's 1533-position model. The record is from RNAcentral.